GCCUGAGUAGCUCAGCUGGAUAGAGCAACAGAUUCCUAAUUUGUAGGUCAUAGGUUCAAAUCCUAUCUCGGGCA
Molecule: transfer RNA, 74 nt
Filed under: Ichthyobacterium seriolicida
Lineage: Bacteria; Pseudomonadati; Bacteroidota; Flavobacteriia; Flavobacteriales; Ichthyobacteriaceae
Description: bacterium JBKA-6 tRNA
Rfam family: tRNA
About the family: Transfer RNA (tRNA) molecules are approximately 80 nucleotides in length. Their secondary structure includes four short double-helical elements and three loops (D, anti-codon, and T loops). Further hydrogen bonds mediate the characteristic L-shaped molecular structure. tRNAs have two regions of fundamental functional importance: the anti-codon, which is responsible for specific mRNA codon recognition, and the 3' end, to which the tRNAs corresponding amino acid is attached (by aminoacyl-tRNA synthetases). tRNAs cope with the degeneracy of the genetic code in two manners: having more than one tRNA (with a specific anti-codon) for a particular amino acid; and 'wobble' base-pairing, i.e. permitting non-standard base-pairing at the 3rd anti-codon position.
Source: Rfam by way of RNAcentral